CAUGGUCUCAGAGAAGACUACAAAAAUGAUUCAUCAAAAGAAACCCAACUAGCCCACAACAUAUAUGCUAGCAAGAGAACAGCGUUAGAAAAUCUGAAGUAAGCAGAACACUCAGAUUCUUUCAAUCCCUGCCUCUGCCGGAUGCUGUUCCACACCUCUUCUCUCCAUAGAGUCUGAAACAUGUAGCAGACUAUGGUCUGAUCUUCCCCUUCUGAAGCUGUCUCCUUGUAAAGGAAAAUACUUAUAUUAAUGGAUCAUACAACAGGAGGACACUUUCCUCUGGAGGGGCAGAGCCCAAACUUGAUGGAGUGCAGCCAGCCCUCACCGCUUUCUGUCCUUGCCUUCCAACAACAGACACCACAGUUCUGCAGUAGUUUGUGUGAGCAGGAGGCAACUGGAGAAAAGUCAGAAGAGGAGAUGGGGAUGUGCAGAGAUAACACAAUAACUGUCAAAAUAUUUCACUGAAGAACUUCUCCAAGAGAUGGGAAUUUGAGUUGUGUCAAAGAUAGAGAAUUGAAGCCGUUUCUUGAGUGAACCCUCAUCUGCUAAGUUGCUGUAUAUACAGGGCAAGUAGGAGAUACCUCCCCAUCCACAUAGGCUUGGAAAGAAAGGAAUGAGAAGUGCUAAGCUCUUUGAAAAAAAAGAGCCUCUAAGAUAGCCUUUCAGGAGCAUGUUUCAGGUUUCAGUCCGACAGCAAGUGGAUAAAAGAUGUCUUUUUCUUCUGUCAUAUUGCCUACCUAUUAGGUCUAAGCUGUUCCUUCUCAAUAUGCUUUGCCUGCUUUGGAUCCCAUUCAAGCAUCUGAAUUUUCCUCUAGUUCUGGACAGGGUUUCAAGACCAGAUUUCUAAUACAUAGAUAUUAUAGCACUACUCAUUAGGUCAUUAAUGACAUCUUUUACUUAUGUAGGACCUAUGUGAUUUAUGAGGUUGUUUAAGUCAACACAAAGAAUAAAAAAUAUUAUGCUGUUACCUAUUUCCUCAGGUUACCCUUUCUUUUGUGUCAAUGCCCAGGCAAGACAGUCCAUAAUAAAUGUGACUCUUUGGGAUGCAGAAAUGGAACUUGGCUGGAAAUGUGUAAAGUUUUGCUUUUAGUUAAGUUGAAUGUCAUCCUCUCUUUGAAGAAGACAAAGAAGACAAGGAAGGAAAGUAUAAUUUAUCCACUGUAUUGACAUUUGGGUUUGGAAAGUACAAAAAUAUGUGAGCUGCACAUACUAUUAAUAUUAAUAACGUUAAAAAAAAAAUCCCUCACAAGGGCUUUGUGUUAAUCUUACAUGAUUCAACUCUUGGUUGCAUAAUGAAGAUCUUACAUAUUUAAUAAGCAAAUUGAAGUAGGCCUAAAUGAGUGAACAACAUAGCACUGUAAAAAGAAACAGGGAGGAGGGAAUUCUUGUCAGAUGAGGUUGCUGAAAAAAAAAAAAAAAAAAAAAAAACCCCGAUCUACUGACAUUUUUAUGUCUCCCAUCAAAUGUCAUUGUGAAUUGA
Cygnus olor (mute swan) is the source of this 1480-nucleotide long non-coding RNA. RefSeq lists it as uncharacterized. The record is from RefSeq and is a predicted model, not a curated record. Lineage: Eukaryota; Metazoa; Chordata; Aves; Anseriformes; Anatidae. The transcript is spliced from 3 exons.